UUGCCUACGGGAGGCAGCAGUGAGGAAUAUUGGUCAAUGGUCGGGAGACUGAACCAGCCAAGCCGCGUGAGGGAUGAAGGUACAGAGUAUCGUAAACCUCUUUUGUCAGGGAACAAAGGCGGGGACGUGUCCCCGGAUGAGUGUACCUGAAGAAAAAGCCUCGGCUAACUCCGUGCCAGCGGCCGCGGUAAUACGGAGGAUGCAAGCGUUAUCCGGAUUUAUCGGGUUUAAAGGGUGCGCAGGCGGUCUGUUAAGUCAGCGGUCAAAGCCCGGGGCUCAACCCCGACCCGCCGUUGAAACUGGCG
RNAcentral lists this ribosomal RNA (305 nucleotides) under uncultured bacterium. RNAcentral describes it as "bacterial SSU rRNA". It matches the Rfam family "Bacterial small subunit ribosomal RNA", at positions 335 to 638 of the family's 1533-position model. The record is from RNAcentral.